CCCCGGGUGCCGGGGGUGGGCUUCGCCUUUGGCGUGGAGCGGGUGGCCUUGGCCCUCGAGGCCGAGGGUUUCGCCCUCCCCGAGGA
Molecule: transfer RNA, 86 nt
Filed under: Thermus aquaticus
Lineage: Bacteria; Thermotogati; Deinococcota; Deinococci; Thermales; Thermaceae
Description: tRNA-Gln
Source: RNAcentral